CGAAGGGGGCAAGCGUUGUUCGGAAUUACUGGGCGUAAAGGGCGCGUAGGCGGCUCUUUUAGUCAGGGUGUGAAGGCCCUGGGCUCAACCUGGGAGUGGCACUUGAUACUGGAGGGCUAGAGAGUGGGAGAGGUUGGUGGAAUUCCCAGUGUAGAGGUGAAAUUCGUAGAUAUUGGGAAGAACACCGGUGGCGAAGGCGGCCAACUGGACCAUUUCUGACGCUGAGGCGCGAAAGCGUGGGGAGCAAACAGGAUUAGAUACCCUGGUAGUCCACGCUGUAAACGAUGAGUGCUGGACGUUGCGGAGCUUGCUCUGCGGUGUCGUAGCUAACGCGAUAAGCACUCCGCCUGGGGAGUACGGCCGCAAGGUUG
Molecule: ribosomal RNA, 371 nt
Filed under: uncultured organism
Description: bacterial SSU rRNA
Rfam family: Bacterial small subunit ribosomal RNA
Source: RNAcentral